GACGAACGCUGGCGGCGUGCUUAACACAUGCAAGUCGAGCGGUAAGGCCCUUUCGGGGGUACGACGAGCGGCGAACGGGUGAGUAACACGUGGGUGACCUGCCCUCAGCUCUGGGAUAAGCCUGGGAAACCGGGUCUAAUACCGGAUAUGACUCCAUGACGCAUGUUGUGGGGUGGAAAGCCUUGUGCGGCUGAGGAUGGGCCCGCGGCCUAUCAGCUUGUUGGUGGGGUGAUGGCCUACCAAGGCGACGACGGGUAGCCGGCCUGAGAGGGCGACCGGCCACACUGGGACUGAGACACGGCCCAGACUCCUACGGGAGGCAGCAGUGGGGAAUCUUGCGCAAUGGGCGAAAGCCUGACGCAGCGACGCCGCGUGAGGGAUGA
RNAcentral lists this ribosomal RNA (383 nucleotides) under uncultured bacterium. RNAcentral's name for it is "bacterial SSU rRNA". It matches the Rfam family "Bacterial small subunit ribosomal RNA", at positions 28 to 411 of the family's 1533-position model. The record is from RNAcentral.